Molecule: ribosomal RNA, 252 nt
Filed under: uncultured bacterium
Lineage: Bacteria
Description: partial 16S ribosomal RNA
Rfam family: Bacterial small subunit ribosomal RNA
Source: RNAcentral
UACGUAGGGUGCAAGCGUUGUCCGGAAUUAUUGGGCGUAAAGAGCUCGUAGGCGGUUUGUUGCGUCGGCUGUGAAAUCCCGAGGCUCAACCUCGGGUCUGCAGUCGAUACGAGCAAACUAGAGUGUUGCAGGGGAGACUGGAAUUCCUGGUGUAGCGGUGAAAUGCGCAGAUAUCAGGAGGAACACCGGUGGCGAAGGCGGGUCUCUGGGCAACAACUGACGCUGAGGAGCGAAGCGUGGGGAGCGAACAGG